Molecule: ribosomal RNA, 505 nt
Filed under: uncultured bacterium
Lineage: Bacteria
Description: partial 16S ribosomal RNA
Rfam family: Bacterial small subunit ribosomal RNA
Source: RNAcentral
GACGAACGCUGGCGGCGUGCCUAAUACAUGCAAGUAGAACGCACAGUUUAUACCGUAGCUUGCUACACCAUAGACUGUGAGUUGCGAACGGGUGAGUAACGCGUAGGUAACCUGCCUGGUAGCGGGGGAUAACUAUUGGAACCGAUAGCUAAUACCGCAUAAUAUUAAUUAUUGCAUGAUAAUUAAUUGAAAGGUGCAAUUGCACCACUACCAGAUGGACCUGCGUUGUAUUAGCUAGUAGGUGAGGUAACGGCUCACCUAGGCGACGAUACAUAGCCGACCUGAGAGGGUGAUCGGCCACACUGGGACUGAGACACGGCCCAGACUCCUACGGGAGGCAGCAGUAGGGAAUCUUCGGCAAUGGACGAAAGUCUGACCGAGCAACGCCGCGUGAGUGAAGAAGGUUUUCUGAUCGUAAAGCUCUGUUGUAAGAGAAGAACGGGUGUGAGAGUGGAAAGUUCACACUGUGACGGUAUCUUACCAGAAAGGGACGGCUAACUACGUG